Molecule: non-coding RNA, 212 nt
Organism: Pelobates cultripes (western spadefoot toad)
Lineage: Eukaryota; Metazoa; Chordata; Amphibia; Anura; Pelobatidae
Source: the annotation of a GenBank genome assembly
AUUAUAUUACAUGUACAACAGAUCAUGUAAUUUAUCUUAUAACAUGUCCAUGUGGUCUAUCCUAUGUGGGGAAGACGGAUUUAACUUUAAGGGAUCGCAUUCGUGGACAUAGAUCUGGCAUUAUGACGGCUUUUAGGGAUCAAAAAACGGACAAGCCAGCGGCUAAACAUUUCUUGGCUGCCUCUCAUAGACUCCCUACACUUAAAUUUGUG